Molecule: ribosomal RNA, 105 nt
Filed under: Candidatus Nesciobacter abundans
Lineage: Bacteria; Pseudomonadati; Pseudomonadota; Alphaproteobacteria; Holosporales; Holosporaceae
Source: RNAcentral
GUUGGUGACUAUAGCAAAGAAAGAACACCCGAUCCCAUUCCGAACUCGGCCGUUAAAGUCUUUUGCGCCGAUGGUAGUUUACGCGAGAGUAGGACAUCGCCAACA